This 119-nucleotide transfer RNA is filed under the name Microcaldota archaeon. Its description in RNAcentral is "tRNA-Ser". The stretch from base 33 to 119 matches the Rfam family "tRNA". From Rfam's summary of the family: Transfer RNA (tRNA) molecules are approximately 80 nucleotides in length. Their secondary structure includes four short double-helical elements and three loops (D, anti-codon, and T loops). Further hydrogen bonds mediate the characteristic L-shaped molecular structure. tRNAs have two regions of fundamental functional importance: the anti-codon, which is responsible for specific mRNA codon recognition, and the 3' end, to which the tRNAs corresponding amino acid is attached (by aminoacyl-tRNA synthetases). tRNAs cope with the degeneracy of the genetic code in two manners: having more than one tRNA (with a specific anti-codon) for a particular amino acid; and 'wobble' base-pairing, i.e. permitting non-standard base-pairing at the 3rd anti-codon position. Lineage: Archaea; Nanobdellati; Microcaldota. The record is from RNAcentral.
GCCGGGGUCGCCUAGUGGUUCCUGAGUUUCUCGCAAGAGAAGCAAGGCUCUAAAGGGCGGCAGCCUGCUAAGCUGUUAGGUCCAAAAGGCCUUCGCGGGUUCGAAUCCCGCCCCUGGCG